Molecule: ribosomal RNA, 427 nt
Filed under: uncultured bacterium
Lineage: Bacteria
Description: partial 16S ribosomal RNA
Rfam family: Bacterial small subunit ribosomal RNA
Source: RNAcentral
UGGGGAAUAUUGCACAAUGGGCGCAAGCCUGAUGCAGCCAUGCCGCGUGUAUGAAGAAGGCCUUCGGGUUGUAAAGUACUUUCAGCGGGGAGGAAGGGAGUAAAGUUAAUACCUUUGCUCAUUGACGUUACCCGCAGAAGAAGCACCGGCUAACUCCGUGCCAGCAGCCGCGGUAAUUCGGAGGGUGCAAGCGUUAAUCGGAAUUACUGGGCGUAAAGCGCACGCAGGCGGUUUGUUAAGUCAGAGGUGAAAUCCCCGGGCUCAACCUGGGAACUGCAUCUGAUACUGGCAAGCUUGAGUCUCGUAGAGGGGGGUAGAAUUCCAGGUGUAGCGGUGAAAUGCGUAGAGAUCUGGAGGAAUACCGGUGGCGAAGGCGGCCCCCUGGACGAAGACUGACGCUCAGGUGCGAAAGCGUGGGGAGCAAACA